GGGAGUUAGAGUAAAAUCUGGCUCCCUGUCUUGUUUUUAAGCAAGAAAUAGAGCGUCCCGCUUAAGGGCGGGAAGGUCACUGGUUCGAUUCCAGUACGCCCCA
RNAcentral lists this transfer RNA (103 nucleotides) under Bacteroidales bacterium. Its description in RNAcentral is "tRNA-OTHER". Lineage: Bacteria; Pseudomonadati; Bacteroidota; Bacteroidia; Bacteroidales. The record is from RNAcentral.